This is a long non-coding RNA of Spea bombifrons (plains spadefoot toad), 159 nucleotides long. RefSeq lists it as uncharacterized. Lineage: Eukaryota; Metazoa; Chordata; Amphibia; Anura; Pelobatidae. The transcript is spliced from 5 exons. The record is from RefSeq and is a predicted model, not a curated record.
UAGAGAUCCACCAUACAGAUGAGGAUCAAAUAAAGAACACAGAGAGCUCUCCAACUACUGACUAUCGAAAAGAUCCCAGCUAUGAGAAUGUUUUGAUAUCCUGUCAAAAUACAGAGGGGUCUUAUGUAAACCCUAUUUCCACAAAUUACUAUAAUUAUG